This 253-nucleotide ribosomal RNA is filed under the name uncultured bacterium. RNAcentral's name for it is "partial 16S ribosomal RNA". It matches the Rfam family "Bacterial small subunit ribosomal RNA", at positions 524 to 776 of the family's 1533-position model. The record is from RNAcentral.
UACAGGGGGUGCAAACGUUGCUCGGAAUUAUUGGGCGUAAAGCGCGCGUAGGCGGCUACUUAAGUCGGAUGUGAAAGCCCCUGGCUCAACUGGGGAAGUGCACCCGAAACUGAGUAGCUUGAGUGCAAAAGAGGGCCGCGGAAUUCCCGGUGUAGAGGUGAAAUUCGUAGAUAUCGGGAGGAACACCGGUGGCGAAGGCGGCGGCCUGGGUUGACACUGACGCUGAGGCGCGAAAGCUAGGGGAGCGAACGGG